UAGGAGCCGGGCGACUCUGGCGGGACGUGCCACUCGACAAGAUGGAGGAAGGUAGGGGAGUGACGUCAAGUCAUCAUGGCCCUUAUGUCCAGGGCGACACACGUGCUACAAUGGCCGGCACAGCGGGAAGCGAGGCAGUGAUGCCGAGCGGAUCCCUUAAAGCCGGUCUCAGUUCGGAUUGAAGUCUGCAACUCGACUUCAUGAAGCUGGAAUCGCUAGUAAUCGCAGAUCAGCCAAGCUGCGGUGAAUACGUUCCCGGGCCUU
This 264-nucleotide ribosomal RNA is filed under the name uncultured Synergistaceae bacterium. RNAcentral's name for it is "partial 16S ribosomal RNA". It matches the Rfam family "Bacterial small subunit ribosomal RNA", at positions 1125 to 1382 of the family's 1533-position model. The record is from RNAcentral. Lineage: Bacteria; Thermotogati; Synergistota; Synergistia; Synergistales; Synergistaceae.